UAGGGAAUCUUCGGCAAUGGGGGCAACCCUGACCGAGCAACGCCGCGUGAGUGAAGAAGGUUUUCGGAUCGUAAAGCUCUGUUGUAAGAGAAGAACGUGUGUGAGAGUGGAAAGUUCACACAGUGACGGUAACUUACCAGAAAGGGACGGCUAACUACGUGCCAGCAGCCGCGGUAAUACGUAGGUCCCGAGCGUUGUCCGGAUUUAUUGGGCGUAAAGCGAGCGCAGGCGGUUUAAUAAGUCUGAAGUUAAAGGCAGUGGCUUAACCAUUGUUCGCUUUGGAAACUGUUAAACUUGAGUGCAGAAGGGGAGAGUGGAAUUCCAUGUGUAGCGGUGAAAUGCGUAGAUAUAUGGAGGAACACCGGUGGCGAAAGCGGCUCUCUGGUCUGUAACUGACGCUGAGGCUCGAAAGCGGGGGAGCAAACAGG
Molecule: ribosomal RNA, 428 nt
Filed under: bacterium
Lineage: Bacteria
Description: partial 16S ribosomal RNA
Rfam family: Bacterial small subunit ribosomal RNA
Source: RNAcentral